RNAcentral lists this ribosomal RNA (2094 nucleotides) under Triticum aestivum (bread wheat). RNAcentral's name for it is "partial small subunit ribosomal RNA". Lineage: Eukaryota; Viridiplantae; Streptophyta; Magnoliopsida; Poales; Poaceae. The record is from RNAcentral.
AUGGGGAAGCCGUCGCAGAAGAAGAAUAAGAGGGCCUCCUCCGGCGCCGGGGACCACCACCAUGGGGCCGGCGGCAAGCCGGGGGCGCUGGAGCGCUCGGGCUCCAAGGUGCUCGACGGCGACGACACCAUUUUCGCGGAGAUGGCGCAGGAGCUGCGGGAGGAGGGGAACAAGCUCUUCCAGCGCCGGGACUACGAGCGGGCCCUGCUCAACUACGAGAAGGCCGUCAGGCUGCUCCCCGCCGGGCCCUCCGCCGCCCUCGACGCCGCCUACCUCCACAGCAACCUCGCCGCCUGCUACAUGCAGAUGAGCCCUCCCGACCACUACCGCGCCAUCAACGAGUGCAACCUCGCCCUCGACGCCUCCCCGAAGUACUCCAAGGCGCUGCUCAAGCGGGCCCGCUGCUUCGAGGCGCUCGGCCGCCUCGACCUCGCCGCCCGGGAUGUCGACAGGGUGCUGGCCGCCGAGCCUGGGAAUCUGACGGCGCUCGACGUCGCCGACAGGGUCAGGCGGACCAUGGAGGAGAAGGGGUUUGUUGUGGAUGGGGAGGCCGUCAUGCCCACGCCCGAGGAGGUGGUCGCCGCCGCCCCCAAGCAGCAGCCGAAGCCCAGGAAGAAGAAGGGGAGGAAGGCGGCCGCCAAGGCCGCGGCUGCCGCCGUGGAGGAGCAGGGGGAGGAGAAGGCGGCCGAGCCUGUCAAGGAGGCUGAGGAGCCGCCCAGGCAGGUCAAGCUCGUGUUUGGCGAGGACAUCCGGUGGGCUCAGGUGCCGGCGACCUGCAGCAUGGCGCAGCUGCGGGAGGCCGUCCGCGGCAAGUUCCCCGGACUCAAGGCUGUUCUUGUCAAGUACAAGGACAGGGAGGGCGACCUUGUCACCAUCACCAACCAGGACGAGCUCAAAUGGGCCGAGGACUUGACUGAACCAGGGAGCUCGCUUCGGCUCUAUGUCACUGAAGCUGAUCCGGAGCAUGAGCCUUAUGUUGAGGAUGCCAGUAGCAACCCGCUGGACAGAAAUACGCACAACGCAUCGGACAAUGGAAGCAUCAGAAGCAACAGGCAGGAUGAGGACAGGAGCACCGUGACUUACAUUGAUGAUUGGAUUGUGCAGUUCGCACGCCUUUUCAAGAACCACGUCGGGGUCAGCUCCGACGAGUAUCUGGACCUCCAUGAGGUCAGUAUGAAGCUGUAUACUGAUGCCAUUGAAGACACGAUUACUACCGACGAAGCCCAGGAGGUGUUUCAGCUCGCGGAGGGGAACUUUCAGGAGAUGGCAGCGCUUGCGUUUUUCCACUGGGGUAAUGUUCACAUGUCUCGUGCUAGGAAGAGGCUGCUCUUACCGGAAGACUCUCCAAAGGAAUUGGUGCUUGAGAAAGUCAAGGAAGCGUACGAGUGGGCAAAGGAAGAGUACAAGAAGGCCGGGAAGACAUACGAAGAAGCUGUAAGGGCCAAGCCGGACUUUUUUGAAGGUUUCCUUGCACUUGCACACCAACAGUUUGAGCAAGCAAAGCUGUCAUGGUAUUAUGCUAUCGGUACCAAUGCGGAUCUGGACACAUGGCCUUCCUCUGAAGUCUUGGAGCUCUUCAAUAGAGCUGAGGAUAACAUGGAGAAGGGUACAGAGAUGUGGGAGGAAGUGGAAGAACAGCGCCUGAAGAAUCGAUCCAAACCUAGCCAGGAAAAUGCUGUGCUAGAGAAGAUGGGCAUGGAGGAGUAUAUCAAAGAUGUAUCCACUGAUGACGCUGCUGAACGGGCUUCCAAUAUGAGGUCUCAGAUCAAUAUUCUCUGGGGUAUGCUGCUUUAUGAGCGCUCGGUUGUGGAGUUUAAAUUAGGACUGCCAGCGUGGGAGGAUUGUCUGAUGGCAGCAAUUGAGAAGUUUAAACUUGGAGGAGCUUCAGCUACAAACAUUGCUGUGUUGGUGAAGAACCACUCUGCAAAUGAAACUGCCCAAGAUGGUUUGGGCUUCAACGUUGAUGAAAUUGUGCAAGCCUGGAAUGAGAUGUACGACAUUAAACGGUGGCUGCGUGGUGCUCCAUCCUUCCGUCUCGAGCCAUUGUUUAGGCGGAGAACUCCGCAACUGCAUAUGGCAUUGGAGCAUAUAUAG